This 261-nucleotide ribosomal RNA is filed under the name unidentified marine bacterioplankton. RNAcentral's name for it is "partial 16S ribosomal RNA". It matches the Rfam family "Bacterial small subunit ribosomal RNA", at positions 74 to 339 of the family's 1533-position model. RNAcentral also lists the same sequence under 1 other name. The record is from RNAcentral.
AGGCCGCAAGGUGCUGACGAGUGGCGAACGGGUGAGUAAUGCAUCGGAACGUGCCCAGUCGUGGGGGAUAACGCAGCGAAAGCUGUGCUAAUACCGCAUACGAUCUAUGGAUGAAAGCGGGGGACCGUAAGGCCUCGCGCGAUUGGAGCGGCCGAUGUCAGAUUAGGUAGUUGGUGGGGUAAAGGCUCACCAAGCCAACGAUCUGUAGCUGGUCUGAGAGGACGACCAGCCACACUGGGACUGAGACACGGCCCAGACUCC